CGUGCAUUCUCAAAUGGUAUUAAAGCUACAGUGAGAAUAUUAUAGCUGUGCGUCAUUCCAGCUACUUCCGAGAAGAAAGACCUCGUCGCCGUGCAAUUUUCCGGCGACUUAAGAGGCUGUUCGUAACUAAACCACCUUUUUUGUUGGUGUUGUGCAAAAUCCGAGACCACCACGAGGUUCGGAAGAGAAUCCCGACCAACCCCAGA
This 206-nucleotide long non-coding RNA is filed under the name Nicotiana benthamiana. RNAcentral describes it as "long non-coding RNA (NBEN_LNC027909)". Lineage: Eukaryota; Viridiplantae; Streptophyta; Magnoliopsida; Solanales; Solanaceae. The record is from RNAcentral.